GGGGGUGAAACGGUAUCGACUUACGAUGUUUAUGUCUUAAGAUGCAUGUCGAGGACGUUCGGUUGGCCUCGUUAAUCAUCCGAACACCCAAUAAACGGCGAAUAUGACGCUGUAGCUGAAGCAGAAGCAAUUCUCGCUGAAGCGACUCCCGUCUUGGUUUAAAUUAAACCAAGCCCUUUUAUAAGUCAUGCCUGUGGAUUUAUAAAAGGACCCUUACAGGCUAGUCCCCUUCAAGUCUAGGGAAGGGCGGCGAAACUUAUAGACUGGCGGGCAUCAAUCCUGUGCAUUGGAGUGAUGUCUGUGAGACUAAAUAAUGUACUAAACAUGUAGAGGCUUAAGGCAGGCUCGGCAAGGACCCGGGUUCGAUUCCCGGCACCUCCA
This 381-nucleotide transfer-messenger RNA is filed under the name Candidatus Omnitrophota bacterium. It matches the Rfam family "transfer-messenger RNA". From Rfam's summary of the family: Bacterial tmRNA, also known as 10Sa RNA or SsrA, is named for its dual tRNA and mRNA-like properties. Its role is to liberate the mRNA from a stalled ribosome. The record is from RNAcentral. Lineage: Bacteria; Pseudomonadati; Candidatus Omnitrophota.